GGGCCUAUAGCUCAGCUGGUUAGAGCAUCUGACUCAUAAUCAGGGGGUCCCAGGAUCAUGCCCUGGUGGGCCCA
RNAcentral lists this transfer RNA (74 nucleotides) under Chitinophagaceae bacterium. RNAcentral describes it as "tRNA-Met". It matches the Rfam family "tRNA". Rfam says of the family: Transfer RNA (tRNA) molecules are approximately 80 nucleotides in length. Their secondary structure includes four short double-helical elements and three loops (D, anti-codon, and T loops). Further hydrogen bonds mediate the characteristic L-shaped molecular structure. tRNAs have two regions of fundamental functional importance: the anti-codon, which is responsible for specific mRNA codon recognition, and the 3' end, to which the tRNAs corresponding amino acid is attached (by aminoacyl-tRNA synthetases). tRNAs cope with the degeneracy of the genetic code in two manners: having more than one tRNA (with a specific anti-codon) for a particular amino acid; and 'wobble' base-pairing, i.e. permitting non-standard base-pairing at the 3rd anti-codon position. The record is from RNAcentral. Lineage: Bacteria; Pseudomonadati; Bacteroidota; Chitinophagia; Chitinophagales; Chitinophagaceae.